RNAcentral lists this ribosomal RNA (462 nucleotides) under uncultured bacterium. RNAcentral describes it as "bacterial SSU rRNA". It matches the Rfam family "Bacterial small subunit ribosomal RNA", at positions 1077 to 1533 of the family's 1533-position model. The record is from RNAcentral.
GGGUUAAGUCCCGCAACGAGCGCAACCCCUGUGUCCUGUUGCCACCGGAACGAGAGUUCCGAGCACUCUGGACAGACUGCCCCGUCCAAACGGGGAGGAAGGUGGGGAUGACGUCAAGUCAGUAUGGCCCUUACGGCCAGGGCUGCACACGUACUACAAUGCCCGGUACAAAGGGAAGCAAGGCGGCAACGCGGAGCAAAUCCCAAAAACCGGGCCCAGUUCAGAUUGUCGGCUGCAACUCGCCGGCAUGAAGCUGGAAUCGCUAGUAAUGGCGCAUCAGCUACGGCGCCGUGAAUACGUUCCCAGGCCUUGUACACACCGCCCGUCACAUCAUGAAAGCCGGCUGUACCCGAAGUCGUCGCGUCAACCGCAAGGAGAUAGACGCCGAAGGUAUGGCUGGUGAUUGGGAUGAAGUCGUAACAAGGUAGCCGUAGGGGAACCUGCGGCUGGAUCACCUCCUUU